GACGAACGCUGGCGGCGUGCCUAAUACGUGCAAGUAGAACGCUGAAGGAGGAGCUUGCUCUUCUGGAUGAGUUGCGAACGGGUGAGUAACGCGUAGGUAACCUGCCUGGUAGCGGGGGAUAACUAUUGGAAACGAUAGCUAAUACCGCAUAACAGUAGAUGUUGCAUGACAUUUACUUAAAAGGUGCAAUUGCAUCACUACCAGAUGGACCUGCGUUGUAUUAGCUAGUUGGUGGGGUAACGGCUGACCAAGGCGACGAUACAUAGCCGACCUGAGAGGGUGAUCGGCCACACUGGGACUGAGACACGGCCCAGACUCCUACGGGAGGCAGCAGUAGGGAAUCUUCGGCAAUGGACGGAAGUCUGACCGAGCAACGCCGCGUGAGUGAAGAAGGUUUUCGGAUCGUAAAGCUCUGUUGUAAGAGAAGAACGAGUGUGAGAGUGGAAAGUUCACACUGUGACGGUAUCUUACCAGAAAGGGACGGCUAACUACGUG
This 495-nucleotide ribosomal RNA is filed under the name uncultured bacterium. Its description in RNAcentral is "partial 16S ribosomal RNA". It matches the Rfam family "Bacterial small subunit ribosomal RNA", at positions 28 to 507 of the family's 1533-position model. The record is from RNAcentral.